This is a long non-coding RNA of Eublepharis macularius, 143 nucleotides long. RefSeq lists it as uncharacterized. Lineage: Eukaryota; Metazoa; Chordata; Lepidosauria; Squamata; Eublepharidae. The transcript is spliced from 3 exons. The record is from RefSeq and is a predicted model, not a curated record.
GGAGAUUGCAGUAAUGUACAGCUUAUCGAGAGUCAGAGACCUUUUGGAUUUUAUCCUCAAGAUGCAAGCAGGGACCAGGAAGCACACAGGCCCUGGUUCUGCCUUUCCCAUUCAAUGGCGCCUGGAACCUGAUACGACACGCC